Molecule: ribosomal RNA, 479 nt
Filed under: uncultured bacterium
Lineage: Bacteria
Description: partial 16S ribosomal RNA
Rfam family: Bacterial small subunit ribosomal RNA
Source: RNAcentral
GAUGAACGCUGGCGGCGUGCUUAACACAUGCAAGUCGAACGAAGCACCUUGAUUUGAUUCUUCGGAUGAAGAUCUUGGUGACUGAGUGGCGGACGGGUGAGUAACGCGUGGGUAACCUGCCUCAUACAGGGGGAUAACAGUUAGAAAUGACUGCUAAUACCGCAUAAGACCACAGCACCGCAUGGUGCAGGGGUAAAAACUCCGGUGGUAUGAGAUGGACCCGCGUCUGAUUAGGUAGUUGGUGGGGUAACGGCCUACCAAGCCGACGAUCAGUAGCCGACCUGAGAGGGUGACCGGCCACAUUGGGACUGAGACACGGCCCAAACUCCUACGGGAGGCAGCAGUGGGGAAUAUUGCACAAUGGGGGAAACCCUGAUGCAGCGACGCCGCGUGAGCGAUGAAGUAUUUCGGUAUGUAAAGCUCUAUCAGCAGGGAAGAAAAUGACGGUACCUGACGAAGAAGCACCGGCUAAAUACGUG